RNAcentral lists this small RNA (358 nucleotides) under 'Crotalaria pallida' witches'-broom phytoplasma. RNAcentral's name for it is "bacterial LSU rRNA". The stretch from base 148 to 221 matches the Rfam family "tRNA". The record is from RNAcentral. Lineage: Bacteria; Bacillati; Mycoplasmatota; Mollicutes; Acholeplasmatales; Acholeplasmataceae.
AGGCGGAUCCUUGGGGUUAAGUCGUAACAAGGUAUCCCUACCGGAAGGUGGGGAUGGAUCACCUCCUUUCUAAGGAAACCAAUAAAAUCAAUCAUCUUCAGUUUUGAAAGACUUAGGCAACUAAGUUUUUCUUCGUGACUUCACGAAGGGCCUAUAGCUCAGUUGGUUAGAGCACACGCCUGAUAAGCGUGAGGUCGGUGGUUCAAGUCCAUUUAGGCCCACCAGAGUUAUAGGUUUCGUAAGAACACAAAUUCUUUGAAAAUUAGGUAAAUAAUAGUUAUUUAUCCGGAACAUUAAAGGAAAUAAGAGCGCACAGUGGAUGCCUAGGCACCAAGAGCCGAUGGGGACGAAUUCGCCU